Molecule: ribosomal RNA, 467 nt
Filed under: uncultured bacterium
Lineage: Bacteria
Description: partial 16S ribosomal RNA
Rfam family: Bacterial small subunit ribosomal RNA
Source: RNAcentral
GACGAACGCUGGCGGCGUGCUUAACACAUGCAAGUCGAACGGAAAGGCCCUGCUUUUGUGGGGUGCUCGAGUGGCGAACGGGUGAGUAACACGUGAGUAACCUGCCCUUGACUUUGGGAUAACUUCAGGAAACUGGGGCUAAUACCGGAUAGGAGCUCCUGCUGCAUGGGGGGGGUGGGAAAUUUCGGCGGUUGGGGAUGGAAUCGAGGGUUAUCAGGCUGUUGGUGGGGGUGUGGGUUACCAAGGCUUUGACGGGUAGCCGGCCUGAGAGGGUGACCGGGCACAAUGGGACUGAGAUACGGCCCAGACUCCUACGGUAGGCAGCAGUGGGGAAUAUUGCACAAUGGGCGGAAGCCUGAGGCAGCAACGCCGCGUGCGGGAUGACGGCCUUCGGGUUGUAAACCGCUUUCGCCUGUGACGAAGCGUGAGUGACGGUAAUGGGUAAAGAAGCACCGGCUAACUACGUG